Molecule: long non-coding RNA, 571 nt
Filed under: Canis lupus familiaris (dog)
Lineage: Eukaryota; Metazoa; Chordata; Mammalia; Carnivora; Canidae
Description: lncRNA (ENSCAFG00000051229.1, ENSCAFG00845001521.1)
Source: RNAcentral
CAAUAACAACCCAAAGACAGCAAUGGGAAGGAGGGAGAAUGCUGGGGCUCGCAGUCUCCUGCCCGCCCCUGGACAGCCUCAGCGUGGCCAAGUAGAACUGAUCCUGCAUUUCUGAGAAAAAUGCCACCCAGACUUCCUCCUCUCGUGUCACAUAGCAACCCCUUCCCAGAUCCUUGCUGAGUGAAGUGACUAAACUCCAUCUCUCCCACCCAUCUGGUUGGAAGCCGAAAGCCAGAAGCCCCAUGUCCCCAGCAGCAGCAGGAAGAAGCCAAAGUCCCUCUCCACUCAGCUAGGAGACCUGUUGGAGAUUCGGAUUCGGAUACACUUGCCAAAGUGCAGGGAGGUUGGAACUGGGCAUCAGUGGGCGUGUGUUCUCACAUCCUCGUCUACAUCAGUGCUGUCUGCCGAUGCUUUUGUCGUACAGAUCACAUCAACUUAAAGGCAGUUAUCAAGAAGCCCCCCUUGGCAUACCCACCAACUGCCUGCCUUUCCUACCAUUAAUCAGUGUCUGCUAAUUGGAGAACAGUUGUUUAUCUACCAACACCCUACCCCCAAGGCAGUUAAAAUGAAU